UUGUGUAAAGUGAGGCGCACCUGUAUUCACAUAAAUUCUGUGGAGACACGUCGGAUGUGUGGCGCAUGCCAGUAAGAGCGGACUUGGAUCCACAAGACGAUUCUUGCCUCCUGGAGCUCUGGUUUCCACCUGUGCCUCUGAACUUCCCUGCAUGCUCUCCAGAGGCUCCUCUAUCCUCUCAAUGGUCUGGUCCACGGUGGGGCCUUCAGCUGCUCCCAGCUCUCCUUCAUGGAUCCUGCUGGGGGCCGAGCUCCCGUCUUCCAACCCUGAGUGAAGGGCGUGAUGGGAGCAUCCACAUCUGGAGGAUCCAGAACCCACAGGAGUGGAGGAAAUGCCAGUGUCGGAGCCCCCUUCCUGCCUCAGCAAUUUUGACAGAGUGUUUUACAGCAAACCUCAAGUAUGACAUUGCUCCCAUAGAUCAGCAUGCAACCUAAUAAGGACACCAUGCCAUAAUUACACCUCAGAAUUAACAGUCCCAGUGUCAUCCACCCCUGGGUCAGGAAGAUCCCCUCGAGAAGGAAAUGGCAACCCACUCCAGUAUUGUUGCUUGGAAAGUCCCAUGGACAGAGGAGCCUGGUGGGCCACAGUCCAUGAGGUCACAAAAGAGGCGGACACGACUGAGCAACUAGAGAACAACAACAGUGUCAUCCAGGAUCCAGUCCAUUUCGAAUUCUGAUGGUGCCAAUGUUUCUUAUGAUUGGCUUGCUUGAGUCAAGAUCCAGUUAGUUUUUGCUGCGUAACAAAGCGCCAUGACACGUAAUGGUUCCAAAUGAGCAUCGUUUGUGUGAGCGGGCGUAGCCAGCCGGGUUCAGGGAGACUGGUAGAGGGUGGCCCCCUCUGAUCUGGCCAUUCAUUUGCCAUCAGCCGGGGAAACAAGGAGGAUGCAGUAAGAAGGCAGGCGUCUGUGGGGUCACUUGUAGCUCCACCUGGUCACCUUUGUUACCCACUGGCUGGAGCAGAUGGCAUGAGCAGCCCUGCCUGCCUCUGAGGGGCACUGCCCAGCAGCAUGGGGACAUGGAGGAGAACCUCCACAGCAGUUCUGGCACCUGAGGUCCCAGCUGGAUUUGGUUGACUUUCCUCACGUAAAUGAUGUUUGUAUCCCACAUGCGAACAUUGUGGGUUUCCCUGGUGGCUCAGUGGUAAAGAAUCUGCCUACGGUGCAGGGGACCUGGGUUUGAUCCCUGGGGCAGGAAGAUCCCCGGAGAAGGAAAUGGCAACCUUCUCCAGUAUUCUUAGCUGGAAAAUCUCAUGGACAGAGGAGAGCCUCGUGGGCUACACAGUCCAUGAAUUCAAAGAGUCGGACACGACUGAGCCCCUAAACCACCACCACCACCACUAGGAACAUUCGCCCUGGAGGCUGCCGUAUGCCAGGCCCUGUGGAUUUGCUCCCACCCUAGGACCUGGGGAAGAGAGCAGGGGAAGUCAGGCUUUGGGCUUCGUUUCUCCAGAGAAACAGACUUAAACAGUAGAUAGGUAUGCUUGUGAGCCAGGCUCGUAAGAAGACAGGCUGUACGCAGACCAGUUUCUAAAUAACCGUACGAGGAACUUCCUAGAGGUCCAGCGGCCAAGAGUCUGAGUUCCCAAUGCAAGGAGCCCAAGUUCAAUCGCUGGUAGGGAACUAGAUCCUGCAACUCAGUCUCAUGCCACAACUAAAGAUCCUGCAGACUGUAGCUAAGACCCAGCACAGCCAAAUUGAAAGAAAGCCAUAGGUUCUGCUACUCCCUGAAGGGGCAGCGGAGGUUCUAAGAGGGCACAAGCCAGAGAUCUCAGAAUCAACCAUAUCUUUGACUUUCAGGUCAUGCUAAGCACAGAGUGGGUACUCUAAAGUUUUUAUUUAAUAGCAUUGAAUCAGCAAAAAGAAAAGACAGGCUUCCCUGGAGGUCCAGUGAUUAAGAGUCUGCCUUGAAAUGCAGGAGACAUGGGUUCAAUCCUUGGUCUGUGAAGAUCCCACAUGCCAUGAGCAGCUAAGCAUGCAUGCGUAGAGCCUGUGCUCCGUAACGAGAGGCCACUGCAACGAGAAGCCCAUAAACCACAACUAGAGAAAGCCCGAGUGUGGCAGUGAAGACCCAGCACAGCCGAAAUAAAUAAUUUCCUUAAUGGCAACCCACUCCAGUAUUCUUGCCUGGAAGAUCCCAUAGACGGGAGCUUGGCGGGCUACAGUCCAUAGGCUCGCAAAGAGUUGGACACCCCUGACGUGACUUAGCAUGCAGACGCGCACUGGGUCACAAGGGAAGUGUGGGCCCUUGUCUUGCUCAUCUUGGGCUGCAAGGCUGCAAGUUCUGUAGCCUACAUGGCUUAAACAACAGAAGUGUCUCACACCUGGAGACGGGAGUCCUGGCCGAAGAUGCUGGCAGGUGUCCUUCAUCCUGAGGCCUCGCAGCCGCUGAGCUGUGUGCUCACGGGACUGUUCGUGCAAGGAGAACGGUGAUCCUGUCAGAUCAGGACCAUGCUGAUGACCUCUCUCGACUGCCCCACCUCUGAAUAUCAUCACACGGAGGGGUAAACGGGCUACAAGACGGGAGUCUGGGGAGACAUGCUGUAACAGACUUCUCCAGAAGGCUCUGCCUAGUUUUGCUUAGCUACAGGAGUAUGCGUCUCAGUGUGUUGUUGUUGUUCAGCUGCUAAGUUGUGUCCGAUUCUUGGCAACCCCAUGGAUUGCAGCAUGCCAGGCUUCCCUGUCCUUUGCCAUGUCCCAGAGUUUGCUCAAAUUCAUGUCCAUUGAGUCAGUGAUGUCAUCCAACAUCUCAUCCUCUACCGCCCCUUCUCCUCUUGCCCUCUAUCUUUUCCAGUGAGUCAGCUCUUUGCAUAUCAGGUGGCAAAAAUGUUGGAGCUUCACCUUCAGCUCAGCUUCAGGAGGAAGCACCUCAAUGGUGUCAUCUCCAGGCUCGUUGGCAUUGAAGCCCCCUCCAGCGUCGGGAUCCAUGUGGCAGGACCAGAAAGGAAGAAGCGCUAACCUUAGGGCGAAGGAAAGUGGAUCAGGACCUUUUCAAGGUUUCCCCUGUAUGUUUGAUGCCUUUCCUUGACUCCUUCUGCAGAUGGAGAAGAGAAUACAGUGAGGCAGAUGUAGUUUCUCAGGAUUGGAGUGGACUCAUCAGUGAGCCAUGACCAUCUAGGACUCUAGUCUGGGGCGUUUGUACAACUUGCUUCCCACACACAGAAACCUUCAGUGUUAGGCACCCUUGUCAGCGUGAUGCCUCAGGAGGGAUAUUUGACAUCUGUCUGAGGGGAGGACCCCAGUGGUGAGAGUUUCAGUGCCCAUGAGGAUUGAGCACCUAUAUUCUAACAACAACAAACAACAUUCUAAUCAGGAAAGACUGACAUGUGGAAGAGACUGGAUUAACUUAGACCCAUGCAGAGAGGUAGAAGCGAGGCUGAUUUCCAUCCUUACAAAAAAUUUCCUCACACUUCCCGUUAUUUCAAAUAAAAGUGGUAGUGAUUUCCCCGUCCCUGGAAGCAUCCAACAACUUCCUAUGGGUAUUGUAGAGGAGCGCAACACAAGGUCUGCCCCUGGCAGGAUGGCAUGUAGACUAGGUGUUUUUCAAGGAUCUCUGCCCAUGGGGU
Long non-coding RNA from Bos taurus (domestic cattle), 3561 nucleotides. NCBI's taxonomy places the organism in Eukaryota, Metazoa, Chordata, Mammalia, Artiodactyla, Bovidae. The record is from Ensembl.